RNAcentral lists this ribosomal RNA (332 nucleotides) under uncultured Glomeromycotina. RNAcentral's name for it is "eukaryotic LSU rRNA". The record is from RNAcentral. Lineage: Eukaryota; Fungi; Glomeromycota.
CAGUCGUACCGACGGAAAAUCAGCUUUUUGAGUGCGGACUUGUGGGUUUACGUGAGCUUUACGGCCUCGUUGUUUGCAAUGUUCGUUCUUUUUGGGUGUACUUUUUCGUAUGGUUGGCCAAUAUCAGUUUCGAUCGCUAUAAAAUGACCGGCGGAAUGUAGCUUCGAUCUCGUAUUGAAGUGUUAUAGCCUCUGGUAGAUGUGGUGAUUGGGACUGAGGAUUGCAACGAAUACCUUUUUGGGCUAUCCGUCUGAUCUCUGAAAGUUGCUUAGGUGCCGAAAGCAUGCUUACGGUUAUCAAAGUCGAUGGUCAAUAGGUUAGAACGGGUUAAA